RNAcentral lists this unclassified non-coding RNA (329 nucleotides) under soil metagenome. RNAcentral's name for it is "partial contains 5.8S ribosomal RNA, internal transcribed spacer 2, and large subunit ribosomal RNA". The stretch from base 1 to 120 matches the Rfam family "5.8S ribosomal RNA", at positions 35 to 154 of the family's 154-position model. The record is from RNAcentral.
GAUGAAGAACGCAGCGAAAUGCGAUAAGUAAUGCGAAUUGCAGAAUUCCGUGAGUCAUCGAAUCUUUGAACGCACAUUGCGCCCCCUGGUAUUCCGGGGGGCAUGCCUGUCCGAGCGUCAUUACAACCCUCAAGCUCAGCUUGGUGUUGGGCCCCGCCGCCCCGGCGGGCCCUAAAGUCAGUGGCGGUGCCGUCCGGCUCCGAGCGUAGUAAUUCUUCUCGCUCUGGAGGUCCGGUCGUGUGCUCGCCAGCAACCCCCAAUUUUUUUCAGGUUGACCUCGGAUCAGGUAGGGAUACCCGCUGAACUUAAGCAUAUCAAUAAGCGGAGGA